AAGGGCACCACAAGAACGCGUGGAGCAUGUGGCUUAAUUUGACUCAACGCGGGGAAUCUUACCGGGUCCGGACACACUGAGGAUUGACAGACGGUUAUUGACUUAUACUCGCUUAAUGGCUUUAAGCUGUUAAACGUUUAACACCUUUACACAAAGAUGCUAGUCCUUUCAUGAUCGUUUGAUAGGUGGUGCAUGGCCGUUCUUAGUUCGUGGAGUGAUCUGUCUGCCUAAUUGCGUUUCACUAAGGUCCCAUUCUUCAUACGUAUGAAUAGCGUCUUAACUCACUUUUACCGCUACCUAUUUGUAGUAAGCGCUCAUACUAUUGGGACCGGAAUGCAACGAGCGCGACUGCACCACCUAAUUGCCCCUUAUCUACCAUUAAUUACUUUAUUAACCGCCCUGUACGGGCACCGGGGCCUUACCUUUACUGAAACUAGCUGGACCGCUGCUUUCCUUUAAGCCAGAGGAAGGUUGCGGCAAUAACAGGUCUGUGAUGCCCUCAGAUGUUCCGGGCCGCACACGUGCUACAAUGAUCAGCACAAAGAGUAUUACCUAUCUUCUUAUACCUAACCCAAUAUGUUAAACUUAUUGCGUAAGGGUAUUGUCUUAACGACUUAUCCGCUUUAGCGCUUUAAGAUUAUUGGACGGUUAUGCCUGCCUCGAAAGAGUGUACAGGGCAGCAAGAGUAAUGAUUCCCUCGUUUUUACUACUAAUACCGCGCUUGGUAACAUAUUACACUCGAUUAAGUAGGGUCUUUGCUUUUAAUAGCAAUUGCUAUCCUCACCCUUAGGCUCUAAGGAUAUUACUAUCUCUAAGGUCUACAGGGAGGUGUAUAUGGCGCACUUACUUAUUCACGGUGGGGACAGACCAUUGUUAACUG
RNAcentral lists this ribosomal RNA (880 nucleotides) under Globorotalia truncatulinoides. RNAcentral describes it as "SSU rRNA". The stretch from base 22 to 528 matches the Rfam family "Eukaryotic small subunit ribosomal RNA", at positions 1178 to 1501 of the family's 1831-position model. Lineage: Eukaryota; Foraminifera; Rotaliida; Globorotaliidae. The record is from RNAcentral.